RNAcentral lists this long non-coding RNA (892 nucleotides) under Trifolium pratense (red clover). RNAcentral's name for it is "long non-coding RNA (TPRA_LNC007730)". The record is from RNAcentral. Lineage: Eukaryota; Viridiplantae; Streptophyta; Magnoliopsida; Fabales; Fabaceae.
GCGACAUCCUUACCGUUCGACUCAUGUUGCCUUCGAAGAUUUGAGACCACACAUGCAACAACUCAGUUUCGCACUUGACCCUUCUAUAUUCAAAGGUUAGUUCAGUUUCCCUUUACCCACUCUGAUUUUUUUGAUGUUUUGUUUCUGGUUAUAGAAAUAAUUGACAUAUCAAAAUUUAUGUAUUUAUGUAGUAUGUGUCUUAUUCUUGUUGAAGGUUUAUUAUUAUGUUAGUAAGAACAAGGUUUUAUGAUUUGUUUUGUAGGUAAAAAGAAAAUGGUAUCAUAAUUUGUGUGUAGGCGAUGGCCUUUAUAUUGGUAGAGAGUUGAUGUUGCUCAUGUUGAAACAACAUAGACACCCUUUCAUAUGCGUGUUAAAAUGGAUAGUGAUAAAUGAUAUGCAAAUUGGAUUUUUUGAAAACUUAGCACACUUUAUUGGACCUCAUCCUCUGAUAGAUAGUUGAUGUUCAUAUAUGCCUCUAGUUUGGUGUGGUAUAAAAUAAUUCUAUGAUGAACUUCUGUACUUAAUGGUUAUAUUUUUAUUUUUUAUUGAAAAUAAACAUGCCAAAGAUGAGUUAACUAACUCUUUAUCUAGGUAGAGUAGUUAAUUUCUGGAGUCUUUACUUUAAGGACAUUCUUAUGCAUUAAUUUUAAUAAUUUAGUUCUGAUAUAGGUAUUCAGUUUUUAAUAUUUUAAUUUAUGAAUUAGUUCUUGUUGGGGCUGUGAUAUCUUUUACAUAGUAUUGAUCCUUUUGCUUUUAACUUAUUUAGCUUUUAAUUUCUGUAAUUUAAGAGACGAUGAUUGUGGAAAGAGAGCAUUCUUCAAGUAGCGGUUCUUCUGGAAAUUGGCUUUCCCAAAACAAGGAACAUGAGAAGACUAGUGUUGUAGCAAGACAU